CGUAGGGGCGAGCGUUGUCCGGAAUCAUUGGGCGUAAAGAGCUCGUAGGCGGUUCAGCAAGUCGGCUGUGAAAUUCCGAGGCUCAACCUCGGAACUGCAGUCGAUACUGCUGUGACUCGAGCCCGGUAGAGGAGAAUGGAAUUCCCGGUGUAGCGGUGAAAUGCGCAGAUAUCGGGAGGAACACCAGUAGCGAAGGCGGUUCUCUGGGCCGGUACUGACGCUGAGGAGCGAAAGCGUGGGGAGCAAACAGGAUUAGAUACCCUGGUAGUCCACGCUGUAAACGUUGGACACUAGGUGUGGCGGUCUGAUCAACGACUGCCGUGCCGAAGCUAACGCAUUAAGUGUCCCGCCUGGGGAGUACGGCCGCAAGGCUA
RNAcentral lists this ribosomal RNA (374 nucleotides) under uncultured organism. Its description in RNAcentral is "bacterial SSU rRNA". It matches the Rfam family "Bacterial small subunit ribosomal RNA", at positions 526 to 896 of the family's 1533-position model. The record is from RNAcentral.